Molecule: long non-coding RNA, 926 nt
Organism: Armigeres subalbatus
Lineage: Eukaryota; Metazoa; Arthropoda; Insecta; Diptera; Culicidae
Exons: 5
Source: RefSeq, a predicted model, not a curated record
GACAGUGCUUCGAAAAAAUUUCAUAUACGAUAGCGUAAAAUGCCAGUACGUUAAAAUCAACAGCGUUACUCACAUGAUGAAAAUCACUACCUAAUAAAUCAAACAUCUCGAAGCAGCACAGGAAGCUUACCAUGGAAUCGAUCAUAGGUUUCAUUAUUUGUGAGUCGAAGCAAUCAUUCUCAAUGAAAAUGUCACUCCAUUCUACGGCUAAUAGCUCUUGCAUGACAGCAGUGUGAUCACACCGCUGCAAGUCCAGUCGCGUGCGUGUUGGCUGAUCGAUUGUUGAGUCCUCGUCGUAAAUGAGCUUGUUGUAGUUAACGGUGAGCAUCAUCGCAUUGUGGUGCGUUUCAUUUUGAACUAAAGGUUCACACAGCUCAGUUUGAACGCACUCCUCGUCGUUAGUGAAAAUAAGAUCGAGAAAGCGAUUGUUUUGAUUCGGUAUUCCACACACUUGCAGCAAACCACUGGAAGACAUUUCGUCAACAGUGAUGGAUUCCUCCGGUGUGCGAACUUGUAGAGGACUCGCUACUUCAACCAUGCUGCGAACGCUCUCGGUAUACGAUCUAUACCGUGCCAGGCUUGCGUCGGGAGAUUGAUUCUUUGACGAUGGAGCUAGCGAGCGAGGCUUUCACGGCAAUAAGAACACCGCCGCCAGAGGAUUUAUCGGCAUUGGACAAUGUACGAUCGCAACGAAAACAUAAAUAUCAUAGUCAUGUUCGAGGGACGACAAGAACACUGACUGCAAUCGAUUAGCACCGCGGAUGCUGUUCAUGUUUUGGAAAAGAAACGGACGUAGAGGAGGUGGGAGAAUUUGAGAACGUUGGCGGAGAAACGAUGACGGGUGCGUGCAAAUUGAGACUAGGGCUCGAAACGAAAGACCUCAGGGCGUGUGGAACGAGCAAAUUCGAACUCUCGGAAAUAUAUAC